Molecule: long non-coding RNA, 701 nt
Organism: Lontra canadensis (Northern American river otter)
Lineage: Eukaryota; Metazoa; Chordata; Mammalia; Carnivora; Mustelidae
Exons: 6
Source: RefSeq, a predicted model, not a curated record
AGACUUUGAAACCCUGGACUGUGGCAGAACUUGGGUUCUUGAGGCACACAUGGAAGGCUACUCAGUGAAAACAGGACUGUUACGUAUGAACAAAAGACCAAAAGUUUGAUAACUCAGUUGGCAAGGCUAUGGGGAAAUAGACACUCUCAUAUAUCAAUCAUGAGAGGAAGAAGAAUCUGCGCCUGCCCCUGGCUCAGUGCCUGGUGCCAACAGAACACCUUUCAGGAUCCACAGCAACGCAGACAACGAGUCCAAGAUCCCGGCCUCUGCUUGGAACGGAACAGUGUCAUGGCGGAGACGACGGCCUUUGUCUUGCUGGGUGUGAAAGCAUCCGCUGUGCUUGCUCCACUGCGGCAGAAUCAAGUUUAAAGGAAGAAAGGUACAGACGCCAGCCGCUUGGCACACUCUGCCUUCCGCACUGGUGCAGGGGGGCAGGGAAAGCCCGCAGCAAAACUGGCAACUGCUGAGGGAACGUUGCCUGCUUAUUGGAGUAGAGCCGAUAGAAGUCGACGUGAUACUGCCUCGUCCUUACGUCCUGUGAAAGAGAUAUAUAGGGUGCCAUGAAAAUGUGUACCAGGAGGAACUGAUCUUUGGAGAGCAUGUCAGAAAAGACUUCCUGAAGAAAGUGAAUUCAAGGUGAAUGCUGAAAGUUGAAAAGAAAUUAGACAAAAAGAGGGAGAAAAUAUUUUCCAUGUAGAGAG